CCGGGAAUUGUAAUUUGAAGGUGGGGUUGAAUAGGUCUAGAUACUUUAAGUCCAUUGGAAAAUGGCGCCAUGGAGGGUGAUAGCCCCGUAAAAGUAUUCAAACCUUCUUUUCUUCCCCUCCUAAGAGUCGAGUUGUUUGGGAAUGCAGCUCUAAGUGGGUGGUAAAUUCCAUCUAAAGCUAAAUAUUGGCGAGAGACCGAUAGCGAACAAGUACAGUGAUGGAAAGAUGAAAAGCACUUUGAAAAGAGAGUGAAAAAGUACGUGAAAUUGUUGAAAGGGAAGGGCUUGCAAGCAGACACAACCUCGGUUGGGCCAGCAUCGGAGUGGGGGGAGACAAAAAAGGUUAGGAAUGUAGCUCAUCUCGAGUAUUAUAUCCUGGCCCUAUAUCUCCACCCCCUUCCGAGGCCU
This 408-nucleotide ribosomal RNA is filed under the name Metschnikowia sp. (in: budding yeasts & allies). RNAcentral's name for it is "LSU rRNA". It matches the Rfam family "Eukaryotic large subunit ribosomal RNA", at positions 136 to 495 of the family's 3401-position model. Lineage: Eukaryota; Fungi; Ascomycota; Pichiomycetes; Serinales; Metschnikowiaceae. The record is from RNAcentral.